AGAACAAAACUAUAAUCUCAUUUAGUGCUUCAAUAGUCCUUUCUCUGCUAAACUCACAUAGCCACAAUGAUUGUCCAAAGACACGCAUUCCCCCUUCUUGGACAUCCUUAAGACUGAGCUACAUAAAACCCUAAACCACCUGGUCUCACAGUUUUCCUGACACUGUUUUAGGCAGGACGUUGCACCUUCUGAGGCUGCUCACAACCAUAUUAUCAUGUGACUCCUGAUGGUAUGUUUGAUAUUUUCAGAUAUAUUGAGACUUGGUUUCUGAUUAUCCAGAAUAUGCAGAUUACGUUUUAAUAAUGCCACUUCUUUCUCUCUAUAAUAUCCAUGUGUUGGCCUCAUAGGGCUCCCUGAAGCGUGUGUUUCCAUUUCCACCAUUAGCUGAAACCAUCAAUGGAAUGAAUAGCAUUCCUUAGGCUUGAGAUAUUCCAGAAGUGAUACAUAAUUGAUUUACAUUUUAAAAGACAUCACACAUACACAUGUAUUCUAGCAGGAUACUUGUCUGUGAUAUCUGAAACCUUUUCAGAUGGAACAUUAAAUAUAAAUCCAGAGUAUUUGCUUGUACCCUUUGUUCUUCUUUCUUAACUAUCUAGAAAGAAGCAGCAUUUCCCCUGACUCUCAGAGCUCCUUUGCAUCAGCACUGCUUUUCUCUCAUGAGAGUUCUAUAUCUUCUAGUAAUAUUUAUUAAUCUGCCAUAAAGUACUUCCAGUUCUAUAAUUCCUUAAGUUCAGGGAUAAGACUUUAAUUUCUUCCACCGCUCCCUUGUGCUAACGUAGCACAAGAACUUUGCUGAUCCUUCUCACAGAUGGAAUGUCAUGACUACAUUGCUUGGUUACCGGAUUUCCCUCUUCCUCUUUAUUGUGUCUCUCUAUCCUCAGCACUGACAUGUUUGCCUUUUCAGUAGUCAGGUGAACAGGGUAAUUUGAAUAACUGCUAUAGAAGUAAAGACUCAAGGGGUUUGAUUUAAUUUUGUUUAAAUGUUAGUAUAUGAAAUGUGAUCUGUUAGAGAGUAGUAGAAUCACCGUGCAGAUGACAAGCAUCAGGCAGAUCGUAUUACCUGGAAUAAUUGAAAACUGUCUGCUUUCUAUAAUUUUACUUGGCUUUCCUCAUCUAAGAGUUAAAAAUAUGUACUGCUCUUGAUGACUUCUAAAAAAGAACCAUAAACAAACUUAGUUCUAGUUCAGUUUCCACGAGAAGUAGUGAAAGCAGAUGCAUCAGCCAAUGCUCAGAGGAGACAGGUGUGUGCAUUAGCCAAAGUGUGCAUGUCAGAUUAAUUUGGAGUGUAAUAGUCAUGUUCAAAAGAAUAAAUAGUUAUGAGAGAACAUUUUACUCAUUUCAAUUCUCAUAAACUAACUUGGAAUCCACGUUUUGUCAUCCAGAAGAUUCUGAAAUUGGUGUCCCACUUGUUUCAUUUGCUUUUGAUGUGAAUAAUCUCAGAAUUAUGUUUUGUAUGUUUUAGUCUCUCCUGUUGAUAUUUUAAGUAAACAUUUUACUGCCAGAAAGAAUUCCUGAAAGUGAAAAAGGGAAAGGAAAACAAGAAUUAUCAAUAUUCUGUUUAAUAUGAAUAGAAUUACAUCUGCUGCUGCUUGAACACACACAUAUUUAUGGGUGAAUUUCAGACAAGCCAGGAGGUUUCAGUAGGUAGAACAUAUAUGAUAAGCCAAAAAUAUUGCAUGUAUUUUUAAUUCACAAGAAUGUGAACAGCUGUGGGUCUUGGAACACUUUAUCAAUUUAUGAAUUUAAGAAACUAUAAAGCAUUGAAAUCCUUCCAAAAUAGUUCACACUUGAGACAGAUCAUUGUGGCAGCAGCUCUCUGGCCACAGACAGCAAUGCAGAACUUUCCCAGGCAUUGUCCUGGGGAAGGCUGUGAGAAGAUCAAAGAAUGAUAAACAACUCUUAUCUUCACUUGCUGCACCUGUUGUUGUGAACAUGUGGAAUGAGUUGUGGAGAUGUGUUUACCAAAGGGUGGUUUCUUGAUUGGCCAAUGGUGAUGGCGUUUGCAUUGAAGGACCAAUUGGGUCCACCUGUAUCAGACUGUCAGUAAGGGUGAUUGGUUUCUUAAUAAGUACAGUGUAAUAAAGGGAUUGAUCAGCCUUCUGAGAAUCAUGGAGUCAAGGUCAAUUAUUACUCGGCUGGGGGCCCGUGAUGACAGAUUAUGGCAUAUGAUAAUCUGGUAGCAGAGCCCUGGCUAUAAUGCCAUCUGCUUUUCCUAUGUGAAAAUUCCUCAGGAAGGAUGGGAGCAUUAUAAUGAUAUGUGACAAUCACUACCUAAAAGCGCAUCUAGUUAAAGCCAAGAGGAAGUUAGCUUAGGGGGGAAAAUAAUAAUUAUUUUUACCUAAAAUAUAUAUAGAGUUAAAAAUGUCUAGCAUUAUAUAUAAUCAAUUAUGUUAAUAAUUGUAUUUUAUACCUUAUUUAGUUUUAAAAAUUUUACAUUCCUGGAUAAAUAAUAAAUUAUCAAUUGCUUCUAUGUUUAGUGAUUAAAAGACUUUCUUGGAAUCUACUAUCUUUAACAACUGCUAGCCAAUUUAUUUUACCUUCAGUUUUCUCUCUAUGCUAUAUAAUGUCUCAGUAUAGUUGCUAUGUUUCCUAUUUGUUUGGGUAGCUGGGAUUCAGAUGUGUAUACUUAGGAUAUUCUUCAAUAGUAGGAAAUUUCUGAAGGUAGCUAGGGAUUCCGUUUUUAAGGAAGAUUUUUUCCUUUGUUUCAAUUACGCAAAUUGCUGUGAGAGUGAUUCAGUAAAACAAAAGAAAAUUAUAGGGCUUGGAGUUUUAUAAAAGAAGAAAUAGAUACUUUUUUUUAGGGGGUCUUAUUCUAUUAUAAAUCUCUCCAGAACUCUUAACUUUCCAUGGACGAGUGUCCCUCCUCUCCCCCUCUUCCCACUGGCUGAUGCAUCAGUCAGAUUCUAGUAGGUACCAUUCCAGCUUGUGUUCAUGAAACAUUUUGCAGACUGUGUUUUGGAUUGGAGGUACUUACAUUAUUUUCUUGAUACCAAUUUUUUCUCAUUCUUUUUAUUAAACACUAUCUGGUUUUUAUAGAUAUAUAUAUUAGUAACUUAUACUUCCCUAGCAACAACAUCCCCAGCAAAUAUGCAUUUUUAGCAGAUUCAUGCCUAAAACAUAGGCAGCACAUGACAAUAGACUUCCCUGCAACCUACUGCUACUAAAGCAUUUCAAUACAGAAACACAGCUACUUUAAGGCUUAUUUCACUCUACCAUUUCUAAUAAUUUUAAGGGAUCUAAUUAUACUCUACUCUUUCUCUCCAGAGAAUUCGCUGAAUGAAGGGUUAUUCCACUGAAGUCAGUACUGCCAUAUAGUACAAAAUUAGAGUCAUAAAGGAGAACAGUUGUUUCCUGAUCCUCUGGUGGAAAAAAAAAAAAAGAGAACACAAGGACAAAGUGGAAGAAUAAAAAAGUGGAAUGUAAUGGAAGAUCCUUGUAUUCUCAAGGCAUCGUAGAAACAAUGGAUAACAAUUGACAAAAUGUAAAUUCCCUGGAUACAUGCAAAGAUUAUGGGGAAGAAAAAGAAUAAAAAUUGCCAGACGGAACCUCAUGUACUUAGUCAGCAAUGAAGUCGAACGUGUCAUGUGCUUUUGAUGACAGCUGUCCUCUAGAAGACAGAAAUUGUUCUCCUGGUGGAAGUUUAUGUUUUCAUUGCCUGGGACUGUCUUAACUCCAACUGCCCUGGGCCUCUGAGUGCAGCAGCACAUGAGCAGAGGUUCUGCAGCCAUGCAUGUUCUGAUAGUUCAUAACAAGCUUGCUCUAUUUAAUUGUAUUUUAAGAAUGAAUGAGGGAUAAUAUAAAGUUAGCUAUACCAGGACUUUACCAUCUAAUAUUUUAUUGGGAAAUUGUUAUUUCUGAAUAGCAUGGCAGAACAGAAAGCAACACUGUGGGCACGGAUCUCAGUCCUUCUCUUGUUAUUACUGAAGAAGAAAUGCUAUGCAGACAAGAAAGAGGCUGAGUUAAUUUCUUUAUAUGUAACUCAUGUAUUUACUGUGAGAUCUGCCUGUCACCUUUGUGUCAAAAGCUCUUCUGCCUCUACAGGGCAGGACACUGCUUAGGAUAACCACUGCUGCCAGGAGGAGAAAGAUGGUGUGGCAUGGGUAAGAUGAAGACCCUCAUACCCAAAGUUUACUGGGAGGGCACACAAGGUAGAGUCUGGGGAGAGUGGCUGUGUUGCUGUGCAUCCUCACACUUGCAUUGCAGCUUUGUCCUGGCCUUUUAAGAUGUUGGCUUGGAUUUGACAAAAGUGCACUUGGCAGUCUGCAGCCAAUGAAGCCAAAAGCCACAUAUGUUUCUGUGAGGCUCUGUUUCCUCUUAGUAAAAUAAAUGUAUUUAAAAAUAAAGAGGCAUCCAGGUGUCCUUGUUAAAAAGGCUGUGUGAACCCUGGAGAUUAUUUGAAUAUUUUUCCCUGAAAGCUCAUUAGUUACUAGGACAAUUAUUAAAGCAUCUUAUAAGGGAAAUAUUCCCUGUUUGAAAGUGAAUGUGUAUUGCUUUCAGGAAGUUAUUCUGAUUUGUUUGAGUGGGCUCUAAUAAAGAAAAUACCUUCCUUUACACUGCUUAGUAAACUACUAAUAGAAUAGAUAUAGAAGGACAGAGAAUCAACAUUUUUACUCUUAUUCAAUGUUUUUUAAAGCCUUUGCUGUGAAUAAAUAGAGACUUUAAACUGCUCCCAUGUAGGUUUAUAUUCAGCAGAUUCCUAAGAUCUCCUGGAAAUGGAAGCAAUUUUCAUUUAAAUAAUUUAUUAUCAGACUCACAGUGCACUCUACAAGUUAAAUGCAAAUUGACUACAGCUUGGCCAUCUCUAAGCAUUCAAAACUACUAACUCAGGUUGCAAGAAAAAGCAAGUUUGGCUAAAAAAAAAGGAAUUAUGAGGAAAAAAUGGUUAUUGUUUCUUUUGUUUGCUAAUGUUUUUGGAAGUCUACACAGUGGACUUUUCACUAUUUAUAUCUUUAACUACAUUUAUCUGUCAAAAUGCAUCUGGUGUUCUGAAAUUUUAAAAUUCUUUCCAUUUAUUACAGUUCAAAAUUGACCCAUUUCCCAUUUUUCUUUCCAUUUUAUAUUUUAUCAAUAUAGAUUUCACAUUUUUCAUUUUAUAAAAAUCCGUAUAUUUCAGUAAAAGGAUAAGGCUUUAAUAAAUAAAAAUUUUAUAGGUAGUGUGUUGAAGACAAUGUAAGAAAAAAAAGAAUUGGAAAAAUAUUAAUAACAGGAAUAACUUCUAAAACUGGUUUGGUUUUGUUAGUGUUGUUUUUUUUAGUAUUAUUUUUUAGGGAGUAUAUUUUGGGUGAAAUAGUUUAUCCAAAUUUGUGAAUAAUCCCUGCCAAUUAUGUGUUUUUAAAUUUUUUUUCUUUUUUUUACUAUUUGUACUGAAAUAUAUGAAUAUAUUUUUUGAAAAGUUGUGUGCUUUGCUGGACAAACUGGCCAGUGGAUAACUCCCUUAACCAGAGAAGUUACCCUGAAGAAAAGACUAUGUAUCUCCGUGAUGUUCCUUCCCAAUGUCUAACCAAAACUUACUCUCUUUCAGAUUAAACUCAUUGUCCCUUGUCCUAUUACCACAUGUCCUUGACAAAAGCCCCUCUCCAUCUUUCUUGUAGGCUCCCUUCAGGUAUUGGAAGGUGAAUAAAGUCUGCCCAGAGCCUUCUCCAGUCUGAAAAAUCCCAACUCUCUCCAGGCUGAAAAAAUCCCAACUCUCUCAGUCUGUCUUCACAGGAGAGGUGUUCUAGAGCCCUGCUCAUCAUCAUGACCUCCUCUGUACUUGCUCUGACAGUUCUGUGUCCUUUUGUUGGGGACCCCAGAGCUGGGUGCAGUGAUACAGGUGGGGUCUCACCAGAGCAGAUUAGAGGUGCAGAAUCACUUCCCUUGUCCUACUGCUCAUGCUGCUUUGGAUGCUGCCCAGAAUAUGGUUGGCUUUUGGGGCCAAUCCAAUCAUCUUACAGAGAAAUAAGGAAAAUGAGAUUCCAUAGUGGAUCAGACUUCAGUGAUUUGCUUUUCAUGAUGUGUGGCUCUGAUCCUUACCUUCUGAGCAAUGAUCAGUGCUCAGAGUUUAGUUCUUGUUGGUCAACCUUUUGUAUUGUAAAAUGUUCCCAAAGUGUGGAGAAACAUAUCUGAAGAACAGUGGAGAUCAACAUUUCGUCUCCCUUGGAUCUUAACAGAGGAUAAUGGAUGUUCCCUUUUAAAGCACUUGUGCUAUUGAUUUUGUGGCUUUAUCACUUUUAUGAAAAGUGUUACCUCACCUAGUUCUAUGUUCAUUACUUUAUUUGCUUCUGAGAAAAAUAUUAUCUUCAGAAAGUCCCAGGCAGGGAUUUACUAUCCUGGAUCAAAUGAGUAAAACCUGAUAAUUCUGAAGUAGUUGGCAAGAAAAUAGCAGCCCCAUGACAGGUCAUGUUCCCACAGGUUUCUCUGAUAAUCACUAAUUGCUUCAAAAUCACAUAUUCAAAAUGGAAAAGAGAGCUGAUUCCAUCAGGUCACAUCAUUAAGAGGAAGAGAUGAUACACAACAUCAGCUGCUUAGCAAUAUCAUGUUCCUUCUACUUAUUAGUGAUAUGUUUAUUCCCUUUUUAAAUAAUAGAAAUGGUAAAGUUUCUGCCAUUUUUAUAAGUCCAUAGUAAUUCCUCAUCUGGAUACAAUAAAUUCUCAAUAUUUCCUACAUACAUGAAUUUUCUUCUGACUUUCGUACUCUUCUACUAAACUAAAUAAUUGCGUUUUCCUCCUUGUUAAGGCCCUUCAAUAUCUUUAAGCAUUUAUAAUGUGUCCAAUUAGUUGUAUAAUGGCAAGCUAUACAAAUACUGGGGGAGGAUCUUCUAAAUGAAAAUAUGGUAGAUUGGCAUUGAUUUUCUGUAAAAGCAGAGCACUUAACAGCACAAUGCUCUGCUCUCUCCUGGUCCAGUUCCAGGAAAGGAUUUAGGCACCUAAGACAACAGCUGAGUAGAUACAAAUUAUCAAUUCAGUCACUAUUUAACAUUUGUGGAGCCUAAAUUCAAUGAGGAGCUCCCUGUUCUGCCUUGAAAUCCCUAAGAACAUAGGCUGAUGCUUCUGUAGAUGCUCAGAGCAGAUGAUGUCUAUGUAGCCAUCUUAUUACUUAUUUUCCUUCUAAAUGUGGCUGGAACCCCAGAAGCAGACAUUCCUUCACUUAAUUGACUCUGAGACUUAACCUAAGAAGUUUCUUUGCAAUGUGCCAAAAGCAUAUCUGCAGAAACAUGCUGCAUUUUUCUGCAAUCUCCCUUUCUUUAAGUUAAUGGAGAAAAUGACAAUGCUGCUCACCUUUUCUAUCAUAUUCUAGAGUUCACCAGCUCCUAAAUUAGGAUCAGAGUUCAAUUUCUUCCUCAGAAAGCAUUAAACACACAGACUCUGUCUCAAAGGAAAGUGCUUUCACCACUAUUCAUGUCUUUAGGUGCAUUUUUGAGAAAGAGGAGAAAACCUUUGGUUGCACCUGUGCUGCCCCCAUGGCAGGAGUGCCAGGGUCUCUGGCCACAGAGGCCCUGCCAUGCUGUAGCCUGCAGUGUUCCAGAUGAAGCAUCUACAAAUCUUCCUGACCUGAUUAAGUGCAGAAGUUAAGGGAUGCAAUAUUGGAUUUGGAGGUUCAUUAUUAGUUUCAGGUAUUCUAAAUGUGUAUUUGGUAUCCAUGUGCUAAGUCUCUGCACUCACAUUAGUCUAUCUCCGUACCCAUACUUAUUUUACUUUUCCUCUGGAAAUAUCUUAGAUUUUUAGAAGUUAUCUGUAAGGCUUGGGGGAAAUUAAUAUGAGAAAUAGUCUCGUUAUUUUCUUUUUAAUUUCUGCUCUGAAUUUAUUUCUUUCCCUGAACAUUUUAGUUACACAUUUGUUAUUUCUUUUUGAGCCUUUGGUCAUGGUAUAGAUCUUUUCCUGGGGCAGUUCUUGUUUUGUACUCUGUACAUCUAUCUAGUAUUGAGUUUCAACAUUGCUUAAGAAAUUGAGCAACAUGCACCCAUUUAAUUUGUCCUUAUAUCACACUAAAUAUUUAUAUUUGAAUGGUUAUUCAGUUUUGUCACAAAUAUCUGUCCUCAAGGAUUUCUCCCUUUUCUUAUGUAUGUAUAUAUAUAUAUAAAUAUAUAUGAAAAUGUUUUUCUUGCAGCUAUGAUCUUUACAGUUUUUUAAUUUCACCAUAAUUGUUUUACUAUUAAUGAUUCCUCUUUCUAGCUAGCCUCUUACACUAUUCUCAUGUAUUUUACACAUAUUGAUACCCCUCAGUUAUGAUUUUAAUCUGUCAAAAUGCUUUAAUGUAAGCCACUCUUUCAAGUUUAAUUUUAAAAUUUAAAUAUAAAUACAUUAUAAAUUUAAA
Non-coding RNA from Taeniopygia guttata (zebra finch), 8292 nucleotides. The record is from RefSeq and is a predicted model, not a curated record. Lineage: Eukaryota; Metazoa; Chordata; Aves; Passeriformes; Estrildidae.